AAACAGUACGAAAGAAAGCCACCACAGCCAGGACCCCAACCACACUGGCACGAGCUGCGGAUGCUGGCGAAGCAGGAACUUCCUCAUCGCACCAAACUCCACAAAGGCGCCCUCCCCAGGGGUCUGUCACUCAAAAAAAGAGGCCAAGCAAGAGACACCAUCCUGAUGUGCAAACGACACAAGCAUUAUCCCCUCCACAACGCUGCAUCUCGACUGUGUCGGCCCAGCCACCAGUUGACAUUUUGGCCAUUCUGCCAUCACAGGAACCACAUUCCCCUCAGCUAUCUGAUGCAGACAUCAUACCCCAAGAUACCCAGCAGGACACAGAUUUACAGGAAACAUUCAUACUCCAACUGCAGCCAAUUGACCCAACCCAACAAACCACACCGCCUGUUAGUACGCCGCCACCACAAAGAUCCCCAACACCACAAUUGAGCCCAACUACACCCCAGCCACAACAACUUGAUCAAGCAUUUUGAGACAGUGGGGCCACACAAGUUACAGGCCCAAAAUCUAGAUUGUCUGCGCACACACAGCCAAUAUCUUGCCAGUCUGUCCCAUCACCUACCUAGACUAAGUAGGAACACCAGCAGACUCAAUGUACAACUAAGCAGAAUGGCAAACACAAUGGAACAGAUGCGAGCAGACAACAGCCAACUAAUUGUAAGUUUACAACGCAUAAUGGAUGAGCAACAUCGUCAUCAGCAAGCCCUCAUUCAAUUAAUUCAAAAUAAUCAGCUAAUUGCUGAAAGUCUGUCCAGAAUCAUUGAAAAUAAUACAUCAGCCACAACCCAACUGAACGCUACACUGUCCAACCUAAGUCCAAACAUCAAUUUGUUGUCAACACAACAAGGCUCCAGCUCAGGGACAACAACACCAAUCCAGAACCCAAUUACCUCCCCAGUAAGAAGAUCGAGCAGAACAUGCUCAAAUGUGCCAUCCCAAGCCUCUGCAGAAACCAAACAUCCCCCCAAAAAAUAAGCUACACCUCUGCUGAAGCACACCUUACAAUGAACCACAACACAAAACACACACAACCAAGAACAAAAACAAGUGAUAGUUUUGUUUGGCUUACUUCAUAAAUAUAUUAAAGUGUGUAAAUAUGUAAA
Molecule: long non-coding RNA, 1109 nt
Organism: Pseudophryne corroboree (corroboree frog)
Lineage: Eukaryota; Metazoa; Chordata; Amphibia; Anura; Myobatrachidae
Exons: 3
Source: RefSeq, a predicted model, not a curated record